This 722-nucleotide long non-coding RNA is filed under the name Homo sapiens (human). RNAcentral's name for it is "HSALNT0389799". The record is from RNAcentral. Lineage: Eukaryota; Metazoa; Chordata; Mammalia; Primates; Hominidae.
CUUUCCAACGGCUAGCCGAACACUGCAGGAAGGGUGCUGGUGAUUUCCUCUAAGGCUAAGAAAAUGCUGAACUGGCUCUUCAGGGUCGGCCCAAUAACGCAAGACCACAGUGCACACAUCACUUGUUUCACCUUGGCACAGUCUCCCUCAGGUCCCUGCUCUAAAUUCCCCUUUUCAGGUCAUCCACUUUAGUGGCCCCGACCCAUAAGAGGAGGGGAAAGGAGAGCCUAGGGCAUAGGGGGACAGCCACACACGAAUGCAUCCCCUCAGGGAUCCCUAAAGAGGGGGCUCUCAGACAGGGUUGCCUCAACCCCACCGAUCCCAAAUGAAUUUCAAGUUUGAUGGCUGAAUCAGAAUAAAGUCAAACCACUAUAGGCUAGAACAUACCCUUUCAGCCCCACGCUGAACCAGACAGACACAAUCAGGCUGUGCUCGGAUGGGGUCUCAGGCCAAUUUGUGGUGGUUCUCAAACUGUGUUCCUAGAAGCAUCCCAUGUGCCCCCAGGGCCAAGAGGUCCAGGUUCUACCCCCACCCACAUCCCCUGAAUCAGAGCAGCUUUUUUUUCAUUUUAAAAAUUUUGAUCUGUUUCACACAUUAUAUUUGUUUGAACUUCCCAUGUUUAAAAAUUUUGAAGAAAAUCCCUGGAGUAGACAAUCCCUAGAGCACUGACAUGCUGUGGUCCAAGGUUCACCAGGAACAGUGCCUGUGCCCUGCCACAUGGC